ACUUACUAAGCCAUUACUGACGCUGAGGCACGAAAGCGUGGGUAGCGAACAGGAUUAGAUACCCUGGUAGUCCACGCUGUAAACGAUGUUCACUCGCUGUUUGCGAUACACAGUAAGCGGCUGAGCGAAAGCAUUAAGUGAACCACCUGGGGAGUACGAUCGCAAGGUUGAAACUCAAAGGAAUUGACGGGGGCCCGCACAAGCGGAGGAACAUGUGGUUUAAUUCGAUGAUACGCGAGGAACCUUACCUGGGCUUAAAUGUAGAUUGCAUUUCUGAGAAAUCGGGAUUCCCUUCGGGGCUAUUUACAAGGUGCUGCAUGGUUGUCGUCAGCUCGUGCCGUGAGGUGUCGGGUUAAGUCCCAUAACGAGCGCAACCCCUAUCGUUAGUUGCCAGCGGGUCAAGCCGGGGACUCUAGCGAGACUGCCACCGUAAGGUGAGAGGAAGGUGGGGAUGACGUCAAAUCAGCACGGCCCUUAUGUCCAGGGCUACACACGUGUUACAAUGGCCGAUACAAAGGGCAGCUACUUCGCGAGAAGAUGCUAAUCUCUAAAGUCGGUCCCAGUUCGGAUUGGAGUCUGCAACCCGACUCCAUGAAGUUGGAUUCGCUAGUAAUCGCGCAUCAGCCAUGGCGCGGUGAAUACGUUCCCGGGCCUUGUACACACCGCCCGUCAAACCAUGGGAGCUGGGGGUGCCUGAAGUCUGCCACCGCAAGGAGCGGCCUAGGGUAAAGCUAGUGACUGGGGUUAAGUCGUAACAAGGUAACCGUA
This 768-nucleotide ribosomal RNA is filed under the name uncultured bacterium. RNAcentral's name for it is "bacterial SSU rRNA". It matches the Rfam family "Bacterial small subunit ribosomal RNA", at positions 724 to 1504 of the family's 1533-position model. The record is from RNAcentral.